CCUGGUGCGCGCCGAGUGCCGCGGGGCGCUGGACGGCGUCCCCUUCUGCAGCACCCUAAAAGGUGAGACGGGAGGGGAAGGGGGGGGGGGGGGGGUUUGGGGUGGCGACCCCAAGUUUGGGGGCGUCCUGGCCCCCUUCCCGACCCCGGGGAUUUGGGAGUGGUGGCAGCGGGGCUGUGCUGCGCCAGGGUACGUGACCAUGCGGCUGGAGACCCUGGAGCAGGAGCAGCACCAGAGGCUGGAGGUGAGCGGCGUGGCCCCCACGGGGGUGGCACGUCCCCGUUGUCCCCCCCCUCACAUUUGGGGGCAGCCCCGUGGCCCCGUCCCCUGCCCCGUGCCGCAGCCGGGGGCGGGGAGGGAGCACCCCAAAACCCAAGCCCGGCCUCGGGAGCUUGGGGAAGGGAUCCCCCAGCCCCACUGAGGGGGGCGUUGGGGUGGCUCUGCCCCCGAAACCCCGCAGUUCGCAGCGCACCCCAUAGAGACGAGGACCCACAUGGUGCAGCAGCCCCGCGGGAUGGCCGUCACCGUCAGCACCCGGGAGGGGAAGGCAGAACCCCGGUCCCGGGACUUCUCCUACGGCUGGGCCUCGCUGGGGGGGCUGCUGGGGGAGGCCGCCAGCCUCCUGCUGCUGCGGGUGCUGGCUCGCCGCCGCGCCGUGCCCCCCGGCCUCGUCUUCCCGGCCAUCGACGGCGAGGGGCACCUCGGCACCGCCACCUACGUGAGCCCUCCUGGCCCCUGGGCAGGGGGCGUUUUGGGGGGGAGGAUUG
This 767-nucleotide long non-coding RNA is filed under the name Cairina moschata (Muscovy duck). RNAcentral describes it as "domestica (muscovy Duck (domestic type)) lncRNA (ENSCMMG00000000877.1)". The record is from RNAcentral. Lineage: Eukaryota; Metazoa; Chordata; Aves; Anseriformes; Anatidae.